Molecule: long non-coding RNA, 334 nt
Filed under: Marmota monax (woodchuck)
Lineage: Eukaryota; Metazoa; Chordata; Mammalia; Rodentia; Sciuridae
Source: RNAcentral
AUUCAUGGUCGUUCUGUGGCCGAUAGACAUGUGUCCCCUCAGCCCUCUGUGAUUGGCUAUGUUAAGUGGAAGGAUGUUCUUACGGGCCAAUGGAACAGCCCCGACCCCGUGCUGACAUGGGCGCGAGGAUCUGUAUGUGUUUUUCCCCAGGAUCGCACGGAACCGUUGUGGGUCCCUGAACGCCUGACAAGAAGAGUCUUGACAUCAACCGACCAGCAACAAGAGAUACCACAGCAAUCCCGUGAUGAGGAUCUUCACUCUGCUACGUGCUCUGGUUCUGGUGCUGGUGCCGAUGGCACAGACGACACCAAUGCAGUGGUGGGCAGUGGCACGG